UUCUUUCAGCGCAUCGUCACCUUCAUGUUCCGCCAGUAACUCAACCAUAAACGCAAAGAAAGGCGGCUGCGAACGACUCAGGUAGUAGGUACGGUUGCCGUUGGGAAUAUGCCCCCAGGCGUCAAUUUCGUAACCAAAGUUCGCCACCAUAUCCGCCACCUUAUCCCAGUGCCCGCUUUCCGCCAGCCCCAGCAUCGUAAAGUAGCUGUCCCAGUAGUAAAUCUCUCUGAAUCGCCCACCCGGUACGACAUAGGAUUCAGGCAACGGCAAGAGCGAGUCCCACUUUUCGACGUUUUUAGUUGAGCGGGUCAGCACCGGCCACAGGCCAUCAAUAUGUUCACGCAAUGACUGUCCGGCAGGCGGGACAUAUUUUUCACCCGCUUUCGGCAGGGUGAAGUUAACAUCAACAAAAUGACGCAAAUCGAAGCCGGACUGGUUCCGCUGCAUACGAUAAUCCGCAAGAAUCAUGAGCGGAUCGCUAUUAGGUAU
RNAcentral lists this unclassified non-coding RNA (489 nucleotides) under uncultured fungus. RNAcentral's name for it is "partial internal transcribed spacer 1". Lineage: Eukaryota; Fungi. The record is from RNAcentral.